Molecule: ribosomal RNA, 477 nt
Filed under: uncultured bacterium
Lineage: Bacteria
Description: partial 16S ribosomal RNA
Rfam family: Bacterial small subunit ribosomal RNA
Source: RNAcentral
GAUUAACGCUGGCGGCGUGCAUAACACAUGCAAGUCGAACGAUGAAACUUAAAUGAUUUCUUCGGAAUGAACUUAAGUGGAUUAGUGGCGGACGGGUGAGUAACGCGUGAGUAACCUGCCUUACACAAGGGGAUAGCCGUUGGAAACGACGAAUAAUACCCUAUGAAACUAUCACUUCGCAUGAAGCGAUAGUCAAAGUGUUAGCGGUGUAAGAUGGACUUGCGUCUGAUUAGCUAGUUGGUGAGAAAAAAGCCCACCAAGGCAACGAUCAGUAGCCGGCUUGAGAGAGUGUACGGCCACAUUGGGACUGAGACACGGCCCAGACUCCUACGGGAGGCAGCAGUGGGGAAUUUUGCACAAUGGGGGAAACCCUGAUGCAGCGACGCCGCGUGAUUUAGAAGGCCUUCGAGUUGUAAAAAUCUUUUGUAUAGGAAGAAAAUGACAGUACUAUACGAAUAAGGUCCGGCUAAUUACGUG